This is a non-coding RNA of Procambarus clarkii (red swamp crayfish), 954 nucleotides long. Lineage: Eukaryota; Metazoa; Arthropoda; Malacostraca; Decapoda; Cambaridae. The record is from RefSeq and is a predicted model, not a curated record.
CCUUCGUGGUAGGCAGGUCCCGGCGGAGUGCGGUCUUGUUUAUCAACAACAGCUCAGAUGGUAGUGUUCCUCCCUGGGCUUAGUCAGUUAUCCUCACUAUAUGGUGUUAAGAUGGAACUCUGAGGAAAGUGUGUUCACAUAUAAGAUUAAUUUCUGGCUGCCCAUCUUAAGGAAAUAUGCCUACUUCCUGCUCAGCCAAACCAGCAGACACCUACUUCGGUGGAGCAGAUGUUGACUGAGAAUAGUAUGCAGUAGUGACUUUGCAAUGAUACUGCAAGUGCCAUCUCGACAACAUGGAGUUAAAAAUCUAAAAAAGGUCUGACUUUCACCAGAAGAAAUUCUUGCAGUGCCAACACCCAGUGGUAUUAAUGCUAUUGAGUCAGAAAUACUGCACACAUAAUAGUACCAGCAGUGUCAGGAAGUGCAUCAUAUUGUCAAGGAUGUUACACGUACAGAGGCAAAUUUUUGUUGUCCUGAUCACAUUUCAAACUCCUUAGCAGCCUGUUAUGUCCACUCAUCUGAAGCACUGUACUGGUAUUAUCAAUAUCUCGUGCACUGUGACCAUGGUGACAUUUGUCUGAAGCACUGUACUGGUAUUAUCAAUAUCUCGUGCACUGUGACCAUGGUGACAUUUGUCUGAAGCGCUGUACUGGUAUUAUCAAUAUCUCAUGCACUGUCGCCAUGGUGACAUUUGUCUGAAGCACUGUACUGGUAUUAUCAAUAUCUCGUGCACUGUGACCAUGGUGACAUUUGUCUGAAGCGCUGUACUGGUAUUAUCAAUAUCUCAUGCACUGUCGCCAUGGUAAUACUCAUCUGAAGCACUGUACUAGUAUUAUCAACAUCUCAUGCAUUGUCACCAUGGUAGCACUCUUCUGAAGCACUGUAUCGGUAUUGUCAACAUCUUAUACAUUAUGACACCAUGAUAACACUAAUACAUUAUAUAGUAAAUGUGAA